GGUUGAAACUCAAAGGAAUUAACGGGGGCCCGCACAAGCGGUGGAGCAUGGGGUUUAAUUCGAAGCAACGCGAAGAACCUUACCAGGUCUUGACAUCCUUUGACCACUCUAGAGAUAGAGCUUCCCCUUCGGGGGCAAAGUGACAGGUGGUGCAUGGUUGUCGUCAGCUCGUGUCGUGAGAUGUUGGGUUAAGUCCCGCAACGAGCGCAACCCUUAUUGUUAGUUGCCAUCAUUCAGUUGGGCACUCUAGCAAGACUGCCGGUGACAAACCGGAGGAAGGUGGGGAUGACGUCAAAUCAUCAUGCCCCUUAUGACCUGGGCUACACACGUGCUACAAUGGGAAGUACAACGAGUCGCGAAGUCGCGAGGCUAAGCUAAUCUCUUAAAGCUUCUCUCAGUUCGGAUUGCAGGCUGCAACUCGCCUGCAUGAAGCCGGAAUCGCUAGUAAUCGCGGAUCAGCACGCCGCGGUGAAUACGUUCCCGGGCCUUGUACACACCGCCCGUCACACCACGAGAGUUUGUAACACCCGAAGUCGGUGAGGUAACCUUUUNGGAGCCAGCCGCCUAAGGUGGGAUAGAUGAUUGGGGUGAAGUCGUAACAAGGUAGCCGUAUCGGAAGGUGCGGCUGGAUCACCUCCUUUCUAAGGAA
RNAcentral lists this ribosomal RNA (649 nucleotides) under Enterococcus faecium. Its description in RNAcentral is "bacterial SSU rRNA". It matches the Rfam family "Bacterial small subunit ribosomal RNA", at positions 892 to 1533 of the family's 1533-position model. Lineage: Bacteria; Bacillati; Bacillota; Bacilli; Lactobacillales; Enterococcaceae. The record is from RNAcentral.